Molecule: ribosomal RNA, 489 nt
Filed under: uncultured bacterium
Lineage: Bacteria
Description: partial 16S ribosomal RNA
Rfam family: Bacterial small subunit ribosomal RNA
Source: RNAcentral
UUGAACGCUGGCGGCAGGCCUAACACAUGCAAGUCGAACGGUAACAGGAAGCAGCUUGCUGCUUCGCUGACGAGUGGCGGACGGGUGAGUAAUGUCUGGGAAACUGCCUGAUGGAGGGGGAUAACUACUGGAAACGGUAGCUAAUACCGCAUAACGUCGCAAGACCAAAGAGGGGGACCUUAGGGCCUCUUGCCAUCGGAUGUGCCCAGAUGGGAUUAGCUAGUAGGUGGGGUAACGGCUCACCUAGGCGACGAUCCCUAGCUGGUCUGAGAGGAUGACCAGCCACACUGGAACUGAGACACGGUCCAGACUCCUACGGGAGGCAGCAGUGGGGAAUAUUGCACAAAGGGCGCAAGCCUGAUGCAGCCAUGCCGCGUGUAUGAAGAAGGCCUUCGGGUUGUAAAGUACUUUCAGCGGGGAGGAAGGGAGUAAAGUUAAUACCUUUGCUCAUUGACGUUACCCGCAGAAGAAGCACCGGCUAACUCCGUG